This 386-nucleotide ribosomal RNA is filed under the name uncultured Glomeromycotina. Its description in RNAcentral is "SSU rRNA". It matches the Rfam family "Eukaryotic small subunit ribosomal RNA", at positions 673 to 1060 of the family's 1831-position model. The record is from RNAcentral. Lineage: Eukaryota; Fungi; Glomeromycota.
GUAUGCACUGGCCUCACUGAUUCCUCCUUCUUGAAGAACUGUGAUGUCAUUCAUUUGGUGUUGCAGGGAAACAGGACUGUUACUUUGAAAAAAUUAGAGUGUUUAAAGCAGGCUAACGCUUGAAUACAUUAGCAUGGAAUAAUGAAAUAGGACGUUUGAUCCUAUUUUGUUGGUUUCUAGGAUUGACGUAAUGAUUAAUAGGGAUAGUUGGGGGCAUUAGUAUUCAAUUGUCAGAGGUGAAAUUCUUGGAUUUAUUGAAGACUAACUACUGCGAAAGCAUUUGCCAAGGAUGUUUUCAUUAAUCAAGAACGAAAGUUAGGGGAUCGAAAACGAUCAGAUACCGUCGUAGUCUUAACCAUAAACUAUGCCGACUAGGGAUCGGAUGA